Anas platyrhynchos (mallard) is the source of this 2232-nucleotide long non-coding RNA. RefSeq lists it as uncharacterized. The record is from RefSeq and is a predicted model, not a curated record. NCBI's taxonomy places the organism in Eukaryota, Metazoa, Chordata, Aves, Anseriformes, Anatidae.
CAUGGUGACAAGAUCCAGGGCGCUUUCUGGCUUCCAAGCAAUUUGCUCCCCACCCCUGGCUCCCAAGUAAAAGUGGGGCAGAGAGAGAGAGGAGCUUUUGUUUCUCAAGUGCUUCAGCUGUUGCUACUAAUUAAGCGAAGAGCCCUAGUGCCUUCCCACCUCCCAAGCUUAAGGAGGGUCUAGUUGGGGUGAAAGGAGAGUCAAGAGUCUGUGCUGCUGCUGCUUCUCUGCACCCCGCUCUCACUACAGGGCUCUUUUCAUCCUUUCUCUGCCUUGCUGGGUGACCUGUGGCCAACUCCACGCCUCAGAUUCCCUGGCUGCAGCAGGGAAGAAAUGAGAGAGACCAAGCUCAGCGUGAGGCCAGAUGGAAACUACCACCCUGCUGCUCAAGACUUCCCUGGAUGUCAUUCCCUCCUCUCUCUGAAAUGCCAGCUCCGUCCCCGGGCUCUAACAGCGUUACUGAAACCUCCCCGGUGUUGCCAGAAUGUGCUGGAGGAGCCAGAUGAACUGUCAACGAGUUCUGCUACCGGAGCCCAGGAUCGAGGACUGCAGAGGAUAUCACGGGUCCGUGCGCGAGCGCAUGUUUUCCAGAGACCUUGGCCCCAGAAGUCAGCCUGGUGAGGUCCUGCUCUCUUAGGUAGCCAGGUUAAGCACUCAGUCCUCUAAUGGUGCCUGAUGAGCAGAGGGCACGGAGCAUUACUUUAUCCCCUCCCCUGAGGGUUCCCAUCCGUAGAGGCUCCGGCACAGGAUGCUGCCUCUGUCAGCUCUGCAGUAAUCAGCCCAGAGGCAGGAAGUGGAAACUUUCUGCUUGCAGCCACUUAGUUUCAUUAGAAGCAUCAAAAGAGAAAACAGGCCUCAGGUGGGGCAGUGAGAGGCAGAGACACGCAAGGGGCUGGGGAGAGGGGAUUUGCAGCUCUAUUUAACAUGUCACUUAGCAGGUAAGUCUCAGCUAAGAGCUGGAGAAAAGUGGUAGGGAAGAGGGGCAGAGGCAGCCUGAAGCUGGGGGCUGUCACUGACAUCACUCAGAGCUGUCAGGAGAUCAUACAGCUCUGGAAAACCUGUUUAUUAUUUUUAUUUUUUCACAAAAACAGCAAUAGGGCUGAGCAGAAAUCCCACCCUGCUGCCCUAAGGCUUCCUCCCUGUCCCUCUUCUCCUCUGUAAGACUUUUGUCUUGAUUUCUUUUCAAAAACCUGGUGCCCUGGGAAUUGUGUCCCUUUCCCAGUGCUCUGCUCCGGGUCUUGAUUAUCCCUGUCACUGCAAAGAAUUUCCCUAAUGUUCAGCCCAAGUCUUCCUUGUUCACCACAACCAUGACACUGUUUGGAGGCAGGAUAUUAAGGGCUGGAGUCGCUCCCAUAAUAACAUAUUGAUUUCAAUGAAGCCAAGCUCAAUGGGGAGGAGUCUGUCCAGCCUUGCUCCAUCCCCCUUGUGCCCCAAGAGAACGUUUUGUGUUAGACUAAAUGCCUCUGUAAGUGCCUCUCAGUUCUGUGCUCGUCGUGAGCUGUUCUGUGUAGACACAUUGAAGCAGGCAGGGAGCAGGAUCAGGCCAGUAAUCACAUUUCCUUUUGGCAGUAGGUAUUUUAUCAGCCUUGGUCUCCCUGGGCACUCUGAACCGCGUGGCUGUCUGGCUCUCCUGAGCAGAUCUCAUAGCCCAGGCAGGCAGGAGUUCUUCCACCAGGCGCAGCCCUCUCCCCCUUGCUUCCCAUUUCAUUAACGUCCUCUCCCAAGAGUGGAAAUGAAUUAAACCGCUCACCUCCUAAGCCCUAUUUCCCUCCUUGUACUUUUCCCUAAGCCACCUCCAAUAAAGCAGCCUGUGCACACCAGUGGCAGUGGGACAGUUGUGCACAUCUGGCAGGCACGUAGGGGUCACAUCAGCAGGCACAUCAGUCGCUCACUGACCAGCAGCAGCAUCUGGGAUCUUGAAGCAGAGAAGAUUCAUCAUUUGGUGACCGUCUGUUGCAGUAAUUCCUGCUCUACAACAUCGGCAGAGUAGAAUUCUGCAUCCAGCUCCCCUCCCUCUGUGGCUACCAGCAUCUUUAUCUUUCUUUCCAGCUGGGAAAGGGGUCUCCUUGACAAGGAGGGGAGCACAGAUAUUCACAAGAUGCCAUGGGUCCUCGGGACUAACAUUUGCAUCUCUAGUUCUCACUGGCCAGAUCCUUUUGCCUCUGUAUUUUUCUUUGUCCUGUAGGAAGGCAGGGAUAUACAGCCAGGGAGCAGCAGCUUUUUUUUUUUUUU